UCCGCACUGGUUGCAAAGGCAGAAUCACAUGCCGAUAACAGGCUAAAAGUUAAAGCAUCGUUAUUUUUUCAUUUAUUCUUUUUCAGUUGAUACUUCUCCAAGUCUUGGGUCAGAAUCAGAAUCCUAUGGGCAGAUAAUUAUAAACUUGAAUGACAAUGCUAAUGGUGAACUGGUGUUAUCUCCCUUGUCACAACCAGUACCUGAAAACCAGACAGAUCCAUUCCUGUUUGUAACACGGUUUGGUGGAACUUUUGGUCAGGUCGCCGUCUCAGUAACUGUAACUGAUGGAACGGCAAGAGAAGGUCUGGAUUAUGUUCUCUUGUCUUCACAAGUAGUACUAGAGAGGGGUCAGAAGUCAGCUGCUGUACCAUUACGUAUCUUAGAUGAUACAGUACCAGAAUUUUCAGAGACAUUUACAGUCCGGUUAGACCAGGUGUUCGGAGGUGGGGUACUUGGCACAGUGACCAGUGCCACUGUUAUUAUUGAUGAGUCAGAUGAUCCUAAUGGAGUUUUUGAAUUCUCUGUGGAAGGUAUAUCUGUGGAGGAACCUGAGAAUGAAAUACUAGAUGUGGAAAUAACUGUACAGAGGACUGGUGGAACAUCAGGGGUGAUUACAUUAAACUGGGAGGCCACAUUUGAU
Long non-coding RNA from Mercenaria mercenaria, 640 nucleotides. RefSeq lists it as uncharacterized. Lineage: Eukaryota; Metazoa; Mollusca; Bivalvia; Venerida; Veneridae. The record is from RefSeq and is a predicted model, not a curated record. The transcript is spliced from 3 exons.